Molecule: ribosomal RNA, 423 nt
Filed under: Clostridioides difficile
Lineage: Bacteria; Bacillati; Bacillota; Clostridia; Peptostreptococcales; Peptostreptococcaceae
Description: bacterial LSU rRNA
Rfam family: Bacterial large subunit ribosomal RNA
Source: RNAcentral
UUGAUCCGAAGAUUUCCGAAUGAGGAAACUCACUUAGAGUAAUGUCUAAGUAUCAGUAAGUGAAUACAUAGCUUAAGGAGGGGAACUCAGGGAACUGAAACAUCUAAGUACCUGAAGGAAGAGAAAGAAAUUCGAUUCCGUAAGUAGCGGCGAGCGAACGCGGAUUAGCCCAAACCAAUAAAGUUUUCUUUAUUGGGGUUGCGGACAUAUCAUAACGGAGAGGUAUCGUAAUUGAAGAGGUUUGGAAAGACCCACCACAGAAGGUAAUAGUCCUGUAUGUUAAACGAGAAGACUUCAGAUAUGAUCCAGAGUACCACGGGACACGUGAAACCCUGUGGGAAGCAGGAGGGACCACCCUCCAAGGCUAAAUACUACCUAGUGACCGAUAGCGUAUAGUACCGUGAGGGAAAGGUGAAAAGAACC